This is a long non-coding RNA of Rhipicephalus sanguineus (brown dog tick), 312 nucleotides long. RefSeq lists it as uncharacterized. The record is from RefSeq and is a predicted model, not a curated record. Lineage: Eukaryota; Metazoa; Arthropoda; Arachnida; Ixodida; Ixodidae. The transcript is spliced from 3 exons.
CUGUCUGACGUCACUACACUCUCUGACAGAUUAUUCGUGAGCCAGGUUUUCCCGCAUCAUCAGGAAUGAGUGCUAAAGCUGCGUGGAAGCUGAUCGCAAUUACCUUCAUGGCUAUUGCGGUGAAUCAUGGCUCAUCGUGCAACAAGCAACUGCCAGGAAUUGGACCACGCCUUCUGAGUGCAAAGGCCGCUUUCGGAGACUUCAUGCGAACCUGCAAGAAAGAGAUCCUGGAUGUGGCCAAAUUUGUUCCGUCUGCCAAUGUCCAAAAGUUACUACGAGUUUUCUGCCACUUCUAUAACAUCUGCAAAGGGG